RNAcentral lists this unclassified non-coding RNA (207 nucleotides) under uncultured fungus. RNAcentral's name for it is "sequence contains ITS1". The record is from RNAcentral. Lineage: Eukaryota; Fungi.
UAUAAACUUUUUAAAACUCAGAGCAUUAGCAAAAAUAUAGUGUGUGAAAAUUCUUUGGUAGGGCAUAAAGCAAUAUAUAUAAUUGCCUUAACAAUUAGUAGACUAGGUUUGAAAUAGCCUAACUCCCUACCAAAGCAACAGAUAAGUUCACAAAGGUUAUGAGUAAAAUACUCAGUAAUGAUCCCUCCGCUGGUUCACCAACGGAGA